RNAcentral lists this ribosomal RNA (252 nucleotides) under uncultured bacterium. RNAcentral describes it as "partial 16S ribosomal RNA". It matches the Rfam family "Bacterial small subunit ribosomal RNA", at positions 524 to 776 of the family's 1533-position model. The record is from RNAcentral.
UACGUAGGUCCCGAGCGUUGUCCGGAUUUAUUGGGCGUAAAGCGAGCGCAGGUGGUUUAUUAAGUCUGAUGUAAAAGGCAGUGGCUCAACCAUUGUAUGCAUUGGAAACUGGUAGACUUGAGUGCAGGAGAGGAGAGUGAAAUUCCAUGUGUAGCGGUGAAAUGCGUAGAUAUAUGGAGGAACACCGGUGGCGAAAGCGGCUCUCUGGCCUGUAACUGACACUGAGGCUCGAAAGCGUGGGGAGCAAACAGG